This 404-nucleotide ribosomal RNA is filed under the name Actinomycetes bacterium. RNAcentral's name for it is "Actinobacteria bacterium partial 16S ribosomal RNA". It matches the Rfam family "Bacterial small subunit ribosomal RNA", at positions 355 to 776 of the family's 1533-position model. The record is from RNAcentral. Lineage: Bacteria; Bacillati; Actinomycetota; Actinomycetes.
UGGGGAAUAUUGGACAAUGGGCGCAAGCCUGAUCCAGCCAUGCCGCGUGAGUGAUGAAGGCCCUAGGGUUGUAAAGCUCUUUCACCGGUGAAGAUAAUGACGGUAACCGGAGAAGAAGCCCCGGCUAACUUCGUGCCAGCAGCCGCGGUAAUACGAAGGGGGCUAGCGUUGUUCGGAUUUACUGGGCGUAAAGCGCACGUAGGCGGACUUUUAAGUCAGGGGUGAAAUCCCGGGGCUCAACCCCGGAACUGCCUUUGAUACUGGAAGUCUGGAGUAUGGUAGAGGUGGGUGGAAUUCCGAGUGUAGAGGUGAAAUUCGUAGAUAUUCGGAGGAACACCAGUGGCGAAGGCGGCUCACUGGACCAUUACUGACGCUGAGGUGCGAAGGCGUGGGGAGCAAACAGG